This 301-nucleotide ribosomal RNA is filed under the name uncultured bacterium. RNAcentral's name for it is "partial 16S ribosomal RNA". It matches the Rfam family "Bacterial small subunit ribosomal RNA", at positions 509 to 809 of the family's 1533-position model. The record is from RNAcentral.
CAGUCGCCGCGGUAAUACGGAGGGGGCUAGCGUUGUUCGGAAUUACUGGGCGUAAAGCGCACGUAGGCGGCUUGGUAAGUUAGAGGUGAAAGCCCGGAGCUCAACUCCGGAAUUGCCUUUAAGACUGCCGAGCUAGUAGGUGAGAGAGGUAAGUGGAAUUCCGAGUGUAGAGGUGAAAUUCGUAGAUAUUCGGAAGAACACCAGUGGCGAAGGCGGCUUACUGGCUCAUUCUAGACGCUGAGGUGCGAAAGCGUGGGGAGCAAACAGGAUUAGAUACCCCCGUAGUCCCUGUCUCUUAUAU